UUGAUCCUGGCUCAGGAUGAACGCUAGCUACAGGCUUAACACAUGCAAGUCGAGGGGCAGCAUUGGAGUAGCAAUACUUCAGAUGGCGACCGGCGCACGGGUGAGUAACACGUAUCCAACCUGCCGCUUACUCGGGGAUAGCCUUUCGAAAGAAAGAUUAAUACCCGAUGGUAUAAAGAGUUCGCAUGUUCUCUUUAUUAAAGAAUUUCGGUAAGCGAUGGGGAUGCGUUCCAUUAGAUUGUUGGCGGGGUAACGGCCCACCAAGUCUACGAUGGAUAGGGGUUCUGAGAGGAAGGUCCCCCACAUUGGAACUGAGACACGGUCCAAACUCCUACGGGAGGCAGCAGUGAGGAAUAUUGGUCAAUGGACGAGAGUCUGAACCAGCCAAGUAGCGUGAAGGAUGACUGCCCUAUGGGUUGUAAACUUCUUUUAUAGGGGAAUAAAGUGAGGGACGUGUCCCUUUUUGUAUGUACCUUAUGAAUAAGGAUCGGCUAACUCCGUGCCAGCAGCCGCGGUAAUACGGAGGAUCCAAGCGUUAUCCGGAUUUAUUGGGUUUAAAGGGAGCGUAGGUUGACAUAUAAGUCAGCUGUGAAAGUUUACGGCUCAACCGUGAAAUUGCAGUUGAUACUGUAUGUCUUGAGUGUACAAGAGGUGGGCGGAAUUCGUGGUGUAGCGGUGAAAUGCUUAGAUAUCACGAAGAACUCCAAUUGCGAAGGCAGCUCACUGGGGUACAACUGACACUGAGGCUCGAAAGUGUGGGUAUCAAACAGGAUUAGAUACCCUGGUAGUCCACACAGUAAACGAUGAAUACUCGCUGUUUGCGAUAUACAGUAAGCGGCCAAGCGAAAGCAUUAAGUAUUCCACCUGGGGAGUACGCCGGCAACGGUGAAACUCAAAGGAAUUGACGGGGGCCCGCACAAGCGGAGGAACAUGUGGUUUAAUUCGAUGAUACGCGAGGAACCUUACCCGGGCUUGAAUUGCAGAGGAACAUAGUUGAAAGAUUAUGGCCGCAAGGUCUCUGUGAAGGUGCUGCAUGGUUGUCGUCAGCUCGUGCCGUGAGGUGUCGACUUAAGUGCCAUAACGAGCGCAACCCUUAUCAUUAGUUACUAACAGGUCAUGCUGAGGACUCUAGUGAGACUGCCGUCGUAAGAUGUGAGGAAGGUGGAAG
Molecule: ribosomal RNA, 1168 nt
Filed under: uncultured Bacteroides sp.
Lineage: Bacteria; Pseudomonadati; Bacteroidota; Bacteroidia; Bacteroidales; Bacteroidaceae
Description: bacterial SSU rRNA
Rfam family: Bacterial small subunit ribosomal RNA
Source: RNAcentral